AAGGGCACCACAAGAACGCGUGGAGCAUGUGGCUUAAUUUGACUCAACGCGGGAAAUCUUACCGGGUCCGGACACACUGAGGAUUGACAGGUGUUUCGUAGGAUAAUACAUUGUAACUUGUUACUUUGUAUUUAUACUUACAUAUCAAAUAUGCUAGUCCUUUCAUGAUUGUGUGAUAGGUGGUGCAUGGCCGUUCUUAGUUCGUGGAGUGAUCUGUCUGCUUAAUUGCGUUUCACUUAUAGCUUUAGUUUACACUGUAGUAUUUACUUGUGACCUCACUUCGGUUACGCGUCCAGUGUACUUGUGUACUUUAGCUUCGAAGGCAACGAACGUGACCGCUACUUCUUGUUGCCUCCCUUGUAUUAGCUUAACUUUAAUACUUUAUGUAUAUAAGUUGCUUACACACUCUUUUUAUUAAGAGUGCCGUGGAGGGAAACUAGAAGGACCGCUGACAUUUUUUAAACCAGAGUAAGGUGGCGGCAAUAACAGGUCUGUGAUGCCCUUAGAUGUUCCGGGCUGCACACGUGCUACAAUGAUUAUUGCAGUGAGCAUCUUACCCAGUUCGUAGGCGCAGUUGUAGUACUUUACAUUUUUAUGUAUUGUACUCUCUGACGCUUUUUUACGACUAGGCAACUUCGAAAGUAAGUUGCUAAUCAAUUCGAAGUAAUGAUUUCCUUUGCACACUUACAUGUUCUAUAUGUUUAGUUGCAUUACCUUUGCGUAUUGUUUAACUUUCUUAUAGUAACAUGUGCUCCAUUAAUUCGUGGUGGGGACAGACCAUUGUUAAUUGUUGGUCUCGGUCUCAACUAGGAAUGCCUUGUACGGGUCUUUGGUUCAACAGACCACCCGGAAUAUGUCCCUGCCCUUUGUACACACCGCCCGUCGCUCUUACCGAUGAACUAUACUGUGAAUUUAAGGGAUUGAACUCUUUUGUUUAUAAAAACUUAAAUGAACAGUGUGGUUUAAAGGAAAGAGAAGUCGUAACAAGGCAUCGGUAGGUGAACCU
RNAcentral lists this ribosomal RNA (1006 nucleotides) under Allogromiina sp. A664. RNAcentral's name for it is "bacterial SSU rRNA". It matches the Rfam family "Eukaryotic small subunit ribosomal RNA", at positions 1160 to 1816 of the family's 1831-position model. Lineage: Eukaryota; Foraminifera; Allogromiidae. The record is from RNAcentral.